GGUGCUUAGUCUUGGGCCCCAAGGCCACUCCAGGCAUAUGGAAGAGAUGCAUGGGCCCAUCAAUCAAUGACUGCUGGCCAGAGGAGUGGCACUGAUGAAGUGGGCCCCAGCAGGCUCAAGGAGUAUGGAGGAGGGUCUUCUAACAGGAAUGAGAGCUCGGAAGAUAUAAUUUCCAGCCUCCUGGAGUCUAGCCUCAAGUGAUUGGAUGGUGUCCAGCUUGGCUGGAGUCAGAGAGAAGUCCACCGCUGGGCCCGAGAUGAACACGAGACCGAGAGAUGGCAGGGCUCCAGGCUGGUAUGAUGGCCUGCGAGUGGACAGGGAGCGGCCGUGACUCCAUCUCUUCUCCUAGGACUUGUCAGCCCCGAGAGUCCUGGAAACCCCAAAGAAGAGAGUAAAAAAGAGCCCCCCUAAACUCACCAAGGUGAUCAGCUGGGGCUUCCCAUCCACUGGACCUUCCCAGCAUUUCCUCUGCAGCUACCAGACGCCUGCUGGUGGGGCGCACUUCCUGCUUCCCAAUGUGCAUCUUUCCCCCUUGGCCAUCCAAACACAAUGGGCCAGAGGAAGCACUCGGCCUCUAAGUGAACCUGGAAGUCAGCGCCAGGUAGGACGGGUCAUCUCCUUCGCUCUGCAUGUGCGUGCGUCCAGUUUGCCCAGGAACCUCCUCUGGAGGCCACUGCUGUUGCUUUGCAGCUCUUGGAGUUGCUCUUGUUUGCACAACUGUUUGCUCCACGGCUGACGGGUGAAGGGAGAUCCCUGGGAGAGGUAACACAGAAAAGGAUUUCUUAGAGCCGUGGCUGAAAGGAAGGAAAAAAGACCAAGGCCCAAGGAGAAAGGAGGGCUUCCUCCUGGAGAUGGGGAGCCCCGAGAAUAGAUGCAUGGAUACAGAAUAGAUGCACGGAUGGCCUGUCUAUGGAAACAGCAGGGUGGGCAGGAGAGCAGGAGCGUGCCCGGCACACAGAGCCUUUCAGAUUUACUGUCGUCCCCAUUAAACUGCGGGUCUGCAAGAGCCGUCUGUUCAGGUAAGGGCAGCAGAGAGAACAGGAUGCCCCAAGCAACCCAUAAAUAGCAGGGUGAAGACAAAGUGUUUAUUACUUAGCCUCAUGAAGCCCAUAUAAGCGCUCUCCCAGGGUGCGCAAGAGCAGGAGUGAGUGUGAGCAGGCCCACGUGUGUGUCCCAGGAGUGGGAGUCCCAGACACAGUGUUCGCGCUUGGCUUGACUCUAUGAAGGCGUCUAUUUGAUGGAACGUCCUGGAACAGUUCAUAGCCAGCCCAGCAAACCUGGUGUGGAGACAGAGCUGGCUUUUUCUCUUUCCUUUUCCUGUUUGCAGUGAGAAUAAGGCCUUUCUCUUCUCAGCCCUUUGCUCUCCCCAAAGUUGUCUCACGAGGUCAUUGCCAGAUGGCAGGCUUCCUUUCAGUACAAGGUUUGGAUGGAAACAAUACUCUGUUUUCUGGGGGUUGGUAAAGCUCUGGGCCUGACCAGCCUGCACUAAAUUUAAAUGGGCUAUUGUUUUAGUAGGGACGAUGGUUUCUUCAGAAACUUGGGCCUAUGUGAUGCUGGUCUUUUUCCUAUGAGUGUAGGAUGGAGUUUGCCAUCAGUACAG
This is a long non-coding RNA of Marmota monax (woodchuck), 1600 nucleotides long. RefSeq lists it as uncharacterized. The record is from RefSeq and is a predicted model, not a curated record. NCBI's taxonomy places the organism in Eukaryota, Metazoa, Chordata, Mammalia, Rodentia, Sciuridae. The transcript is spliced from 3 exons.